CGUGCAGCCAGUGAGUUUGGGACAUUAGCAGAGCAGGGUGCUGGAAGCUGCCAAGACCGUCUCACCCAGGCGCCCACCCAGGUGGGGAGGAAUUGAUUUUAUAUGCAGAAAGCGUGAGAACCAGGUCGGUCUCCUGAGAAGAAGAAAAACAGUGAAAUGAUGGAGUGAUGAAUAAAUGAGGGCAGGAGCAAUGAGAAGAAAGAAGAAGAAAAAGAAAAUGCUGAUGCUGACAGUCCUCCUGGCUAUAUCGAUGCGUGCCCUUUAAAGUGGAGAGGAGAGAGGAAGACAGAGAGAAAGAAUGGGGGCUGCAGGCAAAGAUUCACCGAGCGCGACCCGUUUCAUCCCCCCCCC
Oreochromis aureus is the source of this 351-nucleotide long non-coding RNA. RefSeq lists it as uncharacterized. NCBI's taxonomy places the organism in Eukaryota, Metazoa, Chordata, Actinopteri, Cichliformes, Cichlidae. The transcript has 3 exons. The record is from RefSeq and is a predicted model, not a curated record.